This 450-nucleotide ribosomal RNA is filed under the name uncultured bacterium. RNAcentral's name for it is "bacterial SSU rRNA". It matches the Rfam family "Bacterial small subunit ribosomal RNA", at positions 1 to 507 of the family's 1533-position model. The record is from RNAcentral.
CGUAGUUGAUCAUGGCUCAGAACGACGCUGGCGGCAGGCUUAACACAUGCAAGUCGAGCGCCCCGCAAGGGGAGCGGCAGACGGGUGAGUAACGCGUGGGAAUCUACCCAUCUCUACGGAAUAACUCAGGGAAACUUGUGCUAAUACCGUAUACGCCCUUCGGGGGAAAGAUUUAUCGGAGAUGGAUGAGCCCGCGUUGGAUUAGCUAGUUGGUGGGGUAAAGGCCUACCAAGGCGACGAUCCAUAGCUGGUCUGAGAGGAUGAUCAGCCACACUGGGACUGAGACACGGCCCAGACUCCUACGGGAGGCAGCAGUGGGGAAUAUUGGACAAUGGGCGCAAGCCUGAUCCAGCCAUGCCGCGUGAGUGAUGAAGGCCCUAGGGUUGUAAAGCUCUUUCACCGGUGAAGAUAAUGACGGUAACCGGAGAAGAAGCCCCGGCUAACUUCGUG